This 301-nucleotide ribosomal RNA is filed under the name uncultured bacterium. RNAcentral describes it as "partial 16S ribosomal RNA". It matches the Rfam family "Bacterial small subunit ribosomal RNA", at positions 509 to 807 of the family's 1533-position model. The record is from RNAcentral.
CAGUAGCCACGGUAAUACAGAGGGUGCGAGCGUUAAUCGGAUUUACUGGGCGUAAAGCGUGCGUAGGCGGCUUCUUAAGUCGGAUGUGAAAUCCCUGAGCUUAACUUAGGAAUUGCAUUCGAUACUGGGAAGCUAGAGUAUGGGAGAGGAUGGUAGAAUUCCAGGUGUAGCGGUGAAAUGCGUAGAGAUCUGGAGGAAUACCGAUGGCGAAGGCAGCCAUCUGGCCUAAUACUGACGCUGAGGUACGAAAGCAUGGGGAGCAAACAGGAUUAGAUACCCCCGUAGUCCCUGUCUCUUAUAC